CAGUCGCCGCGGUAAUACGAAGGGGGCUAGCGUUGCUCGGAAUUACUGGGCGUAAAGGGCGCGUAGGCGGACAGUUCAGUCGGGGGUGAAAGCCCGGGGCUCAACCUCGAAAUUGCCUUCGAUACUGGCUGUCUUGAGUAUGAGAGAGGUGUGUGGAACUCCGGGUGUAGAGGUGAAAUUCGUAGAUAUUCGGAAGAACACCGGUGGCGAAGGCGACACACUGGCUCAUUACUGACGCUGAGGCGCGAAAGCGUGGGGAGCAAACAGGAUUAGAUACCCGGGUAGUCCCUGUCUCUUAUAC
This 301-nucleotide ribosomal RNA is filed under the name uncultured bacterium. RNAcentral describes it as "partial 16S ribosomal RNA". It matches the Rfam family "Bacterial small subunit ribosomal RNA", at positions 509 to 807 of the family's 1533-position model. The record is from RNAcentral.